Rattus norvegicus (Norway rat) is the source of this 562-nucleotide non-coding RNA. The record is from RefSeq and is a predicted model, not a curated record. NCBI's taxonomy places the organism in Eukaryota, Metazoa, Chordata, Mammalia, Rodentia, Muridae.
GACGUUCUGGGAUAAGAGCCACCAACUGGCCCUGAUUCCUGGAGAGGUCACCUGCUUGGGUCUCAUGACGCAAGGAAGCUCUGUUCCGUAGGAUACACAACAGACACCAUGCUGGGGAAGCGUGACUCAGAGGCAAGGAAAGCAGGGAGGAGAGACUCCCGGGAGGAGAUGAGAGAGGCUGCAUGCAUUUCAGGAUCCAGUUCAAACUAGCCCCUGCCAGGGCGAGGUGUUCCACGCUUUCCAAAGUGUACCACGUCCAUUUUCUCUGUGACCUAGAGACAGGCCUGCCAAGCGGGCUUGUGUGAGGUCACCGUGCCCCGUGCGUGCCGCCCGCCCUCCAAAGCCUCGUGCAUCCAUUCCUUCCCCUCCAUCGCACCUCAGCCCUGAUCAUCUCUCAAGGGUGAGGCAAUAGGUUUCUGCUCGGCUCCCGCUCCCGGCUUGUGCCCUCUAGCCGCCUGAGUGAUCAUUCUGCACUACAAAUUUGUUCAUUCUGCAGUUGGCUGAACAGCCUCCCACAGCCGCCGGAGGGAGCAGAAUAAAAUUCUGACUUCUUUGCACCCAA